GACGAACGCUGGCGGCGUGCUUAACACGUGCAAGUCGAACGGAAAGGCCCUGCUUUUGUGGGGUGCUCGAGUGGCGAACGGGUGAGUAACACGUGAGUAACCUGCCCUUGACUUUGGGAUAACUUCAGGAAACUGGGGCUAAUACCGGAUAGGAGCUCCUGCUGCAUGGUGGGGGUUGGAAAGUUUCGGCGGUUGGGGAUGGACUCGCGGCUUAUCAGCUUGUUGGUGGGGUAGUGGCUUACCAAGGCUUUGACGGGUAGCCGGCCUGAGAGGGUGACCGGCCACACUGGGACUGAGAUACGGCCCAGACUCCUACGGGAGGCAGCAGUGGGGAAUAUUGCACAAUGGGCGGAAGCCUGAUGCAGCAACGCCGCGUGCGGGAUGACGGCCUUCGGGUUGUAAACCGCUUUCGCCUGUGACGAAGCGUGAGUGACGGUAAUGGGUAAAGAAGCACCGGCUAACUACGUG
This 468-nucleotide ribosomal RNA is filed under the name uncultured bacterium. RNAcentral's name for it is "partial 16S ribosomal RNA". It matches the Rfam family "Bacterial small subunit ribosomal RNA", at positions 28 to 507 of the family's 1533-position model. The record is from RNAcentral.